RNAcentral lists this unclassified non-coding RNA (372 nucleotides) under uncultured Chytridiomycota. RNAcentral describes it as "sequence contains ITS1". The stretch from base 1 to 104 matches the Rfam family "5.8S ribosomal RNA", at positions 50 to 154 of the family's 154-position model. The record is from RNAcentral. Lineage: Eukaryota; Fungi; Chytridiomycota.
GAAAUGCGAUAAGUAAUGUGAAUUGCAAAUUCCGUGAAUCAUUAAAUCUUUGAACGCACUUUGCGCCUUUUGGAAUUCCAGAAGGCAUGUCUGUUUGAGAAUCAGUUUAAAUCUCAUACCCUUAAUUAGGAAACUAGUUUUGGCGUGUGGUUUUGAGAUCUUCAAUGAAAAUUGAAUUUCUUUAAUUAUACGUUACCUGGUUUACUCACUAGCUUUGAACCGGAAAGCAUGACCAAUGGACUGGCUUCGGCCUUUCUUGAUUGCUGAUAAAGGACUUUGUUUUUGGGAGUUAAUUCGGUAAAUACUUAAAACACGAAGGCUCUGCCUUUAAGACUUGAUCUCAAAUCAGAUAAGACUACCCGCUGAACUUAA